RNAcentral lists this ribosomal RNA (494 nucleotides) under uncultured bacterium. RNAcentral describes it as "partial 16S ribosomal RNA". It matches the Rfam family "Bacterial small subunit ribosomal RNA", at positions 28 to 507 of the family's 1533-position model. The record is from RNAcentral.
GACGAACGCUGGCGGCGUGCUUAACACAUGCAAGUCGAACGGAAAGGCCUGCUUUCCCUUGUGGAUUGCGGGUACUCGAGUGGCGAACGGGUGAGUAACACGUGAGUGAUCUGCCCCCAACUUGGGUAUAGGCCUGGGAACCUGGGCCUAUUUCCGGUUGGACUGCAGGGUGGUUGCCGGUGGUGGAAAAGGUUUUUCUGUUGGUUGGGGUGGGGCUCCCGGCCUUUAGGCUGGUUGGUGGGGUAAUGGCCUACAAAGGGGGCGACGGGUAGCCGGCCUGAGAGGGUGGACGGCCACAUUGGGACUGAGAUACGGCCCAGACUCCUACGGGAGGCAGCAGUGGGGAAUAUUGCACAAUGGGCGGAAGCCUGAUGCAGCGACGCCGCGUGGGGGAUGACGGCCUUCGGGUUGUAAACUCCUUUCGACCGCGAGGAAGCCACCUGGUUGGAAGGGUGGUGACGGUAGUGGUAGAAGAAGCACCGGCUAACUACGUG